CGAGUGGCGGACGGGUGAGUAAUGUCUGGGAAACUGCCCGAUGGAGGGGGGUAACUACUGGAAACGGUAGCUAAUACCGCAUAACGUCGCAAGACCAAAGAGGGGGACCUUCGGGCCUCUUGCCAUCGGAUGUGCCCAGAUGGGAUUAGCUAGUAGGUGGGGUAACGGCUCACCUAGGCGACGAUCCCUAGCUGGUCUGAGAGGAUGACCAGCCACACUGGAACUGAGACACGGUCCAG
RNAcentral lists this ribosomal RNA (239 nucleotides) under uncultured bacterium. Its description in RNAcentral is "partial 16S ribosomal RNA". It matches the Rfam family "Bacterial small subunit ribosomal RNA", at positions 92 to 334 of the family's 1533-position model. The record is from RNAcentral.